RNAcentral lists this unclassified non-coding RNA (143 nucleotides) under Ascomycota sp. Its description in RNAcentral is "partial contains small subunit ribosomal RNA, internal transcribed spacer 1, and 5.8S ribosomal RNA". The stretch from base 1 to 47 matches the Rfam family "Eukaryotic small subunit ribosomal RNA", at positions 1785 to 1831 of the family's 1831-position model. The record is from RNAcentral. Lineage: Eukaryota; Fungi; Ascomycota.
AAAGUCGUAACAAGGUUUCCGUAGGUGAACCUGCGGAAGGAUCAUUUUAGAAUAUUAUUCAACACUUUUAGGAAAACAAACCAAACCUUUAUAUUAUCAACACUUCAAGAAAAUAACUUUCAACAACGGAUCUCUUGGUUCUC